Molecule: ribosomal RNA, 253 nt
Filed under: uncultured bacterium
Lineage: Bacteria
Description: partial 16S ribosomal RNA
Rfam family: Bacterial small subunit ribosomal RNA
Source: RNAcentral
UACGGAGGGUGCAAGCGUUAUCCGGAUUUACUGGGUUUAAAGGGUGCGUAGGUGGGUAGGUAAGUCAGUGGUGAGAUCUUCGAGCUUAACUCGGAAACUGCCAUUGAUACUAUUUAUCUUGAAUACUCUGGAGGUAAGCGGAAUAUGUCAUGUAGCGGUGAAAUGCUUAGAUAUGACAUAGAACACCAAUUGCGAAGGCAGCUUACUACAUAGUUAUUGACACUGAGGCACGAAAGCGUGGGGAUCAAACAGG